Molecule: ribosomal RNA, 460 nt
Filed under: uncultured bacterium
Lineage: Bacteria
Description: partial 16S ribosomal RNA
Rfam family: Bacterial small subunit ribosomal RNA
Source: RNAcentral
CCUACGGGUGGCAGCAGUGAGGAAUAUUGGUCAAUGGGCGCGAGCCUGAACCAGCCAAGUAGCGUGAAGGAUGACUGCCCUAUGGGUUGUAAACUUCUUUUAUAAAGGAAUAAAGUGAGGCACGUGUGCCGCUUUGUAUGUACCUUAUGAAUAAGGAUCGGCUAACUCCGUGCCAGCAGCCGCGGUAAUACGGAGGAUCCGAGCGUUAUCCGGAUUUAUUGGGUUUAAAGGGAGCGUAGAUGGGUUGUUAAGUCAGUUGUGAAAGUUUGCGGCUCAACCGUAAAAUUGCAGUUGAUACUGGCAGUCUUGAGUACAGUUGAGGUAGGCGGAAUUCGUGGUGUAGCGGUGAAAUGCUUAGAUAUCACGAAGAACUCCGAUUGCGAAGGCAGCCUGCUAAACUGCAACUGACACUGAUGCUCGAAAGUGUGGGUAUCAAACAGGAUUAGAUACCCUUGUAGUC